UACGUAGGGGCAAGCGUUGUCCGGAUUUAUUGGGCGUAAAGGGCGCGUAGGCGGUCACGCACGUCCGUUGUGAAAUCGCUCGGCUCAACUGGGCGGGUCAGCGGAUACGCGUGGCUGGAGCAAGCUAGGGGCAAUGGAAUUCCGGUGUAGUGGUGGAAUGACGCAGAUAUCAGGAGGAACACCGAUGGCGAAGGCAGGUCUCCUGGGCCGAUACUGACGCUGAGGAGCGAAAGCGUGGGGAGCGAAACAGG
Molecule: ribosomal RNA, 251 nt
Filed under: uncultured bacterium
Lineage: Bacteria
Description: partial 16S ribosomal RNA
Rfam family: Bacterial small subunit ribosomal RNA
Source: RNAcentral